RNAcentral lists this ribosomal RNA (487 nucleotides) under uncultured bacterium. RNAcentral describes it as "partial 16S ribosomal RNA". It matches the Rfam family "Bacterial small subunit ribosomal RNA", at positions 899 to 1397 of the family's 1533-position model. The record is from RNAcentral.
ACUCAAAGGAAUUGACGGGGACCCGCACAAGCGGUGGAGUGUGUGGUUUAAUUCGAUACUAAGCGAAGAACCUUACCCAGGCUUGACAUCCCGAGAAAGCUCUUGAAAGAGAGCCGUGCCGCAAGGAACUCGGUGACAGGUGUUGCAUGGUUGUCGUCAGCUCGUGCCGUGAGGUGUCCCGUUCAGUCGGUUAACGAGCGCAACCCCUAUUCUGUGUUAGAAAUGUCACAGAAAACUGCUUCAGUUAAUGGAGAGGAAGGUGGGGAUGACGUCAAAUCAGCAUGGCCCUUACGCCUGGGGCUACACACGCACUACAAUGGGAAGUAACAAUGGGUCGCGAAGCCGCGAGGCGGAGCUAAUCCUAGCAAACCUUCCCUCAGUUCGGAUUGGAGGCUGCAACUCGCCUCCAUGAAGCCGGAAUCGCUAGUAACGGCCAGUCAGCCAUAUGGCCGUGAAUACGUUCUCGGGUCUUGUACACACCGCCCGU